Molecule: ribosomal RNA, 253 nt
Filed under: uncultured bacterium
Lineage: Bacteria
Description: partial 16S ribosomal RNA
Rfam family: Bacterial small subunit ribosomal RNA
Source: RNAcentral
UACGUAGGGUGCAAGCGUUGUCCGGAAUCAUUGGGCGUAAAGAGCUUGUAGGCGGUUUGUCGCGUCUGCUGUGAAAUUUCGGGGCUCAACCCCGAACUUGCAGUGGGUACGGGCAGACUAGAGUGUGGUAGGGGAGACUGGAAUUCCUGGUGUAGCGGUGAAAUGCGCAGAUAUCAGGAGGAACACCGAUGGCGAAGGCAGGUCUCUGGGCCGCUACUGACGCUGAGAAGCGAAAGCAUGGGGAGCGAACAGG